RNAcentral lists this long non-coding RNA (281 nucleotides) under Ananas comosus (pineapple). RNAcentral's name for it is "long non-coding RNA (ACOM_LNC044210)". The record is from RNAcentral. Lineage: Eukaryota; Viridiplantae; Streptophyta; Magnoliopsida; Poales; Bromeliaceae.
AAUCGAAAAGUAGUUUUUAGAGCGUUUUUCGGCGAAAUCCGCCGAUAGAACGCGGUUUCGGUUCGGAAUUCAUCCGACGACGCCUUGUGGUUGAUUGUUGCGUCGCUGAGCCUUGUUGGCUGGUCACUCGCGUCGUUUUGAGGGUUCGGAAAUGACGGGUGAGCGACAAUGAAGUUUCGGUGCGAUUUUCGGGACUUCCGGCUUAUUCGGUAAUUGGUUUUGGGAAACCGGUCGUGGUUCUGGUGAGCGGGGGUUGUGAGUUAGCAUUACAUGUCAGUGGG